AUCAGUCAAUAUUAUAAUUGCAAAUAUGUCAUUAGAAGGAUCUAUCAAUAUUGCAUUAACAGUACAUGUAAUGGAUUAGACUCUUCCAGGGGACAAAAAUCCCGAAAGGCAACCCUACAGGACCCUGGCAGAGUCUGGAGACUGUCAUUUUCCUAUUUCCCUUCCUUAAGUAUCCUCUAUUCAUGGUAAUGUCAGAUAUUUACAUUACAGUUCAUAACAGAAGCAAAAUUACAGUUAGAAACUAGCAACGAAAAUAAAUUUUGCUGGAGAGAUGGCUCAGUGAUUAAGAGCACUGUCUGCUCUUCCAGAGGUCCCUGGUUCAAUUCCCAGCAACCACAUGGUGGCUCACAACCAUCUGUAAUGGGAUCCAAUGCCCUCUUUUGCUGUGUCUGAAGACAGCUACAGUGUACUUCUAGACGUUAAAUAAAUAUGCAGAUAAGUAAGUCACCUGAGAUCAAAUUUUUAAAAAAAGUAGAAGGUUGGGUUAUCUAUCAAUCCACCCCUGAGGGUCUUUAUCUACUUGCUGGUCUCAUCCCUGCACCCUGCCUCCACCUUGUCUAUUUGCUGCCUAUUUCUCCUCAACAAAAACAAAGUCUUCUUUAAAGAAAAAGUAGCCCAUUCAUUGUUGUUCAUGAGGCCAGGUCCUGUGUGGGCUACCUAGUUUAACAUUCAGUGAGUAGUUGGCAUGACUUCUAAUCUCUGAUUCUUUGGCCUCCCCCUUCCAACUCUUGGAAUUACAUGUAUGUAGCCCAUAGCUAAGUUUGCACUAUAAUCAGGUUUCAGUAGAAUUUAUCCAUCCAUGGCUUUCUAAACUGUUGGAAUUGUUGGUUCAUUUGCAAAAUAAAUAAAUAAAUAAUAUUUCCUCCUUCUAGUACUGACCUGCGUUGCUAGCACUGUAUCCUUACUGAUAAGGAAGCUGAUUGUAAGGAUACCAGUCUGAGCUGCUUAGAGACAAGCUUGGGGAGGAGGGAUUCGGGGACAGAUGCUCUAAUGGAAGCCAGAGAGGAAGUCAGGUGUCCUCUAUUUCAUCUUACCUUGAACCAGAGGCUCAUGUUUCUCAACGGCUCUGCUAGGAUUCAGCGAGCCACCCAAUCCUGUCUCCCACACGCAUACCCUUGGGGCUAGGGUGAGAGGCUUCUCCUGAACACAGAUCCAUGGUGGGAUCUGAAUUCUUGGCCUCAUGAUUCUAUAGAAAAUGCUUACAACUCCUCAGCCACCUCCAGAGCCGCCCCUGCACCCAGAGUUUAUUUUUAAACCUGGCAUUCGUGUGGUAACUUGGCUUGCUUUCUAACUGCAGCCGACGUUCUGAGCGAGGAGGCGAUACUGAAGUGGUAUAAAGAAGCACAUGCCGCCAAAGGCAAAAGCGUCUUCCUUGACCAGAUGAAGAAAUUUGUGGAGUGGCUACAAAAUGCAGAAGAAGAAUCUGAAUCAGAAGGUGAAGAAAGCUAAAUGUCUCCAGCACACUGCCUAAAAAAAAAAAAAAAAA
This 1486-nucleotide long non-coding RNA is filed under the name Rattus norvegicus (Norway rat). RNAcentral describes it as "long non-coding RNA NONRATT024978". Lineage: Eukaryota; Metazoa; Chordata; Mammalia; Rodentia; Muridae. The record is from RNAcentral.